This 187-nucleotide unclassified non-coding RNA is filed under the name fungal sp. RNAcentral describes it as "partial internal transcribed spacer region". The stretch from base 1 to 46 matches the Rfam family "Eukaryotic small subunit ribosomal RNA", at positions 1786 to 1831 of the family's 1831-position model. The record is from RNAcentral. Lineage: Eukaryota; Fungi.
AAGUCGUAACAAGGUUUCCGUAGGUGAACCUGCGGAAGGAUCAUUAACUGAGGAGAUUUGAAUGUAGUGUGGGAUUUGAGCGCAUUUGAAUAGUUAAUUCUAUGCGGUUUAUAUACAAAUUGUCUGUAAUAAUUAUUUAUAAUAAUAAUAAUAAAUACAACUUUUAACAAUGGAUCUCUUGGCUCUU